Macaca fascicularis (crab-eating macaque) is the source of this 148-nucleotide unclassified non-coding RNA. It matches the Rfam family "Metazoan signal recognition particle RNA". Rfam says of the family: The signal recognition particle (SRP) is a universally conserved ribonucleoprotein. It is involved in the co-translational targeting of proteins to membranes. The eukaryotic SRP consists of a 300-nucleotide 7S RNA and six proteins: SRPs 72, 68, 54, 19, 14, and 9. NCBI's taxonomy places the organism in Eukaryota, Metazoa, Chordata, Mammalia, Primates, Cercopithecidae. The record is from Ensembl.
GCCGGGCAUGGUGGCACAUGCCUGUAGUCCCAGCUACCUGGAAGGCUGAGGCGGGAGGAUCGCUUGAGCCCAGGAGUUGGAGGCUGCAGUGAGCUGUGAUCUGGCCACUGCACUCCAGCCUGGGUGACAAAGCAAGACCCCGUCUCAA